UGGGGAAUCUUGGACAAUGGGGGCAACCCUGAUCCAGCGACGCCGCGUGGGUGGUAAGGCCUUCGGGUUGUAAAGCCCUUUCACCGGGGAAGAUGAUGAUAUUACCCGGUGAAGAAGCGCCAGCUAACUCCGUGCCAGCAGCCGCGGUAAUACGGAGGGGGCAAGCGUUGUUCGGAUUUACUGGGCGUAAAGGGCGCGUAGGCGGACGAUCAAGUCAGAGGUGAAAGGACCGGGCUCAACCUGGGACGUGCCUUUGAAACUGAUUGUCUUGAGUGCGGAAGAGGGUGACGGAAUUCCCAGUGUAGAGGUGAAAUUCGUAGAUAUUGGGAAGAACACCGGUGGCGAAGGCGGUCACCUGGUCCGCAACUGACGCUGAGGCGCGAAAGCGUGGGGAGCAAACAGGAUUAGAUACCCCGGUAGUCC
RNAcentral lists this ribosomal RNA (423 nucleotides) under uncultured prokaryote. Its description in RNAcentral is "bacterial SSU rRNA". It matches the Rfam family "Bacterial small subunit ribosomal RNA", at positions 355 to 796 of the family's 1533-position model. The record is from RNAcentral.